CCGGAAGGUGCGGCUGGAUCACCUCCUUUCUAAGGAGCAUUCUCCAAUCCAAUGUCCACACAGGUGGAUGGUUGGUUGGCAGAGCCUGUUUCGGAUCCACUUGUGGUCCGUCAGGAGCUCAUGGGUGGACGCUGACAAACUUGAUCGUCGUACGGUUUCUCCUCUGUGGGAGGCCGACGAACAAUAUAUCGACAUACUGUUGGGUCCUGAGAGAACACGCGAGUGUUUCCUCUCUAGGAAGUAACGACAAAUGACUGCUGCAGGUCACACCGGUCCACUUUGGUGGGUGUUGGUGUCUGCGUGAGGUGGUUGUUUGUGUGUUGUUUGAGAACUGCACAGUGGACGCGAGCAUCUUUGUUGUAAGUAAUGAAGAGCGUAC
Molecule: unclassified non-coding RNA, 379 nt
Filed under: uncultured bacterium
Lineage: Bacteria
Description: partial contains 16S rRNA, ITS and 23S rRNA
Source: RNAcentral